This is a long non-coding RNA of Scleropages formosus (Asian bonytongue), 1575 nucleotides long. RefSeq lists it as uncharacterized. Lineage: Eukaryota; Metazoa; Chordata; Actinopteri; Osteoglossiformes; Osteoglossidae. The transcript is spliced from 2 exons. The record is from RefSeq and is a predicted model, not a curated record.
GUGCGAGUAACUCGAGAGCGCGCCGAGAAAGGGGAGAAGGAGGGAGGACGGGAGCGCAGGAGAGCCGAGGAGGACGCGGAGCGCGGCGAACGGCCUUCCCCGGAGAGUCGCCCCGGUCGGCCGUCCCUCCCGCAAGCGGUUUGGGGACGAUCGACCCCAGUAAAUCCUGCCUCCCGCAAUGAAACGUGGCGGUUAGACUUCAGAGCGGUCCAGCUACCGUCCGUCCGCCCGCCCGCCCCGUCGACUCCCGUUCUUUAGACCAGCAAGUAUUCCGUAGAGCAGGACCUGCACGCACACACACCAUUUAGCAAAGCGUAGUUAUCCUACAAAUAAUAAGUAGUGAAAUAAAUGAGAAAAUCAACAAGUACAAGUGAGACAGACGCUGCAACCGAAGUGAGGACGGUUGAAGAAGCGCAGUGACUCGCUGGGGAGAUAACAGGCACUCGAGUGGCAUAAUGGAGGCGGCGGAUGGUGUCUCGUAAGAAGGACCCUGAAAAGCGGCUCUUUGUGCGCCACAACUCCGCGAUCGGGCGACCGGAGGCGCGAGCCACCGUCUAGAGCGGACUCGGACGUAGCCGGGCGGGGUCGGAGCAGCCUGGCGUGCGAGCGGCCCGCGUCGCCGACGGUCAGCGGGUUCGCAAGCGACACGACCGCUUCUCCGUCGCUGCCGCGUGCUCCCCGCACGCACGCCGCGAGGCUUUACGGGCCCCGGGGGCGAAAGCUGCGCCGAGCGCCGAAACGCUCCCUCGAGCGCGAGUCGCUCUCCGAACACGCUUCUUACGACGACGCGAGGGAUCGCGGCCCGCGUGCGGCGCAUCGGAUCGACCGCUUCCAAACGAGGGCCCGCGGAUCUUCGGGACGCGGAGAGGAGCGCGGCUCCCCGACGCCGGCUUCGCCAACGGCACCUCGUCUCCUCAGACCUGAGAAACGCUCCAAAAGCACCAACGAAGCGCUGCAAGUCUGCAAAUGCUGGUACUGGGCUGCCCGCCCCUGCCACGGGUCGGGUCGGGUUCGGUUCGGUUCUCUCCUCUCCAACUUUGGCUACUCUGACCUGGGACGAGCGAACCCUCGGCCAACCUUCGGACACCCCCGUCGCCGUGCAAAAACUAACGUUCGUCCGUCAUCGAUACGCACGGGUCCAAACGCUGGGUCGCCGUGGCCCGCGCCGUGGCUCUCGGUGUCGAGGAGCGAGGGCCACUUGGCCGAAGCGAAAGGUGGUGACGCGUGGUCCGAGGCUGCGGAGCUUCAGUUUCAAGCGAGGCUCGCAGUUUAGUCGUUUCCCCUUUUUUGUCAUGUGGGUUGAGGCUGGAACUCGCGCCGUUAAGUGAACUUUAACUGCGAGAUUAAAACUGGUUUGUGCCGUUUUAUCAGAAAUUAAAACGAAAUUCUACAUUUUUCACGGGGCAGCCGAUAGCGUAGGUGAGAGCGGCUGCCUUCGGACCUGAAGGCGGGAGGUUUGAAUCCCACCUGCCGUUACACGUGAUCCGAUGGCUCGAAGCUCAUACUAUUAUACCAUACGACAUAUAUCAUACAACGUAUUACAUACAUUAAACCUGCGUAACCACGCUAAGCAAA